UACGUAGGGUGCGAGCGUUGUCCGGAUUUACUGGGUUUAAAGGGUGUGUAGGCGGACUUUUAAGUCCGUGGUGAAAUCUCCGGGCUCAACCCGGAAACUGCCAUGGAUACUAUUUGUCUUGAAUGUUGUUGAGGUGGGCGGAACGGGUCAUGUAGCGGUGAAAUGCAUAGAUAUGACCCGGAACACCGAUUGCGAAGGCAGCCCACUAAGCAACGAUUGACGCUGAGGCACGAAAGCGUGGGGAUCAAACAGG
This 253-nucleotide ribosomal RNA is filed under the name uncultured bacterium. Its description in RNAcentral is "partial 16S ribosomal RNA". It matches the Rfam family "Bacterial small subunit ribosomal RNA", at positions 524 to 776 of the family's 1533-position model. The record is from RNAcentral.